Molecule: long non-coding RNA, 6125 nt
Organism: Mirounga angustirostris (Northern elephant seal)
Lineage: Eukaryota; Metazoa; Chordata; Mammalia; Carnivora; Phocidae
Exons: 3
Source: RefSeq, a predicted model, not a curated record
UACAGGCUUAGAUUUUGGGUUUGCUUCCGUAGGCUGCCAGGACAUCAGAGCCACAUAAGUCUAAUGGUCUCCUGGUUUAAUUAAUUUAACAGUAGUCUAGAUUAAAAGAGAUUUAAGAGAAAUGUUGACCAAAUUAAUGUGUGGGCUUUGUUUAGAUCCUGAUUCAACUAAACCAACUGUAAAAAGAUGACGCUCAACUUGGCGAUGUCCUCUGAAACAUCAUCUUCUAGAGCUGGUUCAGUGAUAGUGGGAAUGGCUCCGCCCAACCAUCCUCACUCCUCCUGCUUGUUCCCUCUUACCUCUGAACUUUUAGAACUUAGCUGCCAUGCUGUAAGGAAGCCCAGGAUAAACUGCUAGAGAGGAGACCACGUGGAGAGGCCUCAGAGGAUGAGGCACCAUAUGGAGAGAAGGGCCAGCCAGCCCCCAGUGGUUCCAAUCUCCUUCGCUGAGGUAUCAGACAUGUGGAUGAAGACUUCUUGGAUCUCCCAUCACAACUGAGCCUCCAGAUGAUUGCAGCAGCAUGAGAGACAUUGAGCCAACUGGCAAAAGAACCACCCAACUGAUCCCAGCCCAUAUUGUAGAGUUGUGAGUAAUAAUCAUUUAAGUCACUAAGUUUUGGUGUGGUUUAUAAUUCAGCAGUAGACACAUUAAUUGAUAAUUGAUAGACACUAAUUAGGAAGAGUGUAUACACACACACACACACACACACACAGAGAAUCCAACCAAGAAGGCGCACCAGGCCAUACCUGCUAGAUCAAAGACUUGUACCAGCAACUCAAGCCCAAAGACAAGGGCAGGGAAGGCUGGAACAAAACCAUUGAGGUGGGGGAAAUCGGAGGGGUAGACGAACCAUGAGAGACGAUGGACUCUGAAAAACAAACAGGGUUCUAGAGGGGAGGGGGGUGGGAGGAUGGGUUAGCCUGGUGAUGGGUAUUGAGGAGGGCACAUUCUGCAUGGAGCACUGGGUGUUAUGCACAAACAAUGAAUCAUGGAACACUUCAUCUAAAACUAAUGAUGUAAUGUAUGGGGAUUAACAUAAAAAUAAAAAAAAAUGUUACUACGCAAAAAAAAAACAAACCACUGAGGAAUUGUUCUGGGUCUGAAUGACAGAUAGGAUUUGAAUAUGUGGAAAAGAGCAAUAUGUGCAAAGAAGCAACGAGAGCAAAGGCUCAUCCCUCUCUGGACUACAUGCCUCUAAAAGAAGACUCUGAGUGUUAAAAGCAUCCCUAAGGACGGACUCUAAUGAUGGACUUCCAAGAAUGGUGAUGUAAGGAGGCAUUUUGGUAUGUGGCUGAGGCACCCCCUCGUUUCUCUCAGAACAUGCACGCGGAUGUCAACUUACUCCACUUCCUCCUAAAGCCAGCCCUGAUAAAAAUAAUCUAUUAUCAAUUUAGAAAACUCCUAGGGCAAAAUCCCCAGAACCCUAAUAGGAGGUUCUCUCUUAGGAGGAAUAGUCAGCAACAGCUAGGUUUACACUGCCUAUUUUAUAAAAUGGCCAAAUGCAAGUUUCAGGGUCCUGUUGUUAUCCAUCCUGGUCCAUCCUGUUUACUAAUGAUUUGGUUUCUUAUCUAUGUACAACUUAAUUUUUUUUAAAGAUUUUAUUUAUUUGACAGAGAGAGAGAGAGAGCAGGAACACAAGCAGGGGGAGUGGGAGAGGGAGAAGCAGGCUCUCCGCUGAGCAGGGAGCCCAAUGCUGGGCUCGAUCCCAGGACCCCGGGAUCAUGACCGGAGCCGAAGGCAGAUGCUUAACGACUGAGCUACCCAGGCACCCCUGUACUACUUAAUUUUUGAAGGCUAAUUGCUUCUCUGCCAGCUGGGUUUUUGGUUCCCUGAUGGCAACACCAUUGACUGAGAUUCAAAGCUGGGCAAUGAUCACACUGUAUUGGAGUUGACUGUUCUCUUCUCUGCAGUUCCCACCAGAGCAAGAGAUUCUCAAAGGCAAAGAUUUCUUCUGUUCAGUGUUUUGUCUCCAAUGCCUACAUAUUGAUUGACAUAUAGCAAGUGUCCAGUAAAUGUGUAAUGAAUUAAUGAGAAACCCAGGAAUAUGACAAGCACAAAACCAGGCACAUUAGAGUGGAAGACAUAUCAGGCAUAAAAGAUCACUAACAUUUAUUGGCACAACUCUAUUCCAGCUUCUGUAUUAAGCAUGUGAUGAAUUAGUGUUUAGCAAGUUUUAGUUACAUCUGGAGAGGUUAAAUUAUUUAUCCAUAGCUGGAAUUCAACUGGGCCCCUCUGUUCCCAAGUCUAUGCUACACUUUCUAGCUCUCCUCCUGGAUGUUGAAUACUACCCAGCCACUCCUGUUUGAGGGUUCACCAAAUAGGGACAGAGAUGGAGGAGAGUUUGACAGGGGGGAUCCCUUAGAGAACUUUUGCUUGGCCCUCAGGAAUGAGGAUUAGGUGCAGACAGAAGAUGCCCUCAGAGUCUUUGAAGACCUUUUCAUGGGCACAAGGAGGCAGGAGUUGGCACUCAGCCUGUGCUGGGAUAAGGAUGAGUCCCUCUCAGGCUGUUCUCAUCUCCUUCAGGACCAAGUUACUGUUCUCUGGAAGGACUGACAUGCAGGAGAGGUCAGCCCGACCUGCCUAUUCAUAGGGUGGAGCAUUACAACUUGACUCUGUUUCUCCCAAGUUUUGUGAUUAAGAUCGGGAGCUCGGGGUGGGGCACGGGCUUGGCAUUGGGGAUGAAGUCGAUGAGGGAAAUUCAGACUCGCAAAGCGCAGGGUGGAGCUGGGGUGACUCAGGGGGCAGCACCCAGUGUGGGGCAGCCUUUGGCAGGCAGGGGCAGAUCGGAGGAAAGUGUCUAACUGCAUCCCCGUACGCACGGCUUUGUGGGCACUAUUUGUCAGCUGCAGUGCAGUAAGUUAACCUGCGGCUUGGUCUCCAACAGCCUAGGCUCAAAUCCUAGCAUGGCCAUUUACUCUCCCGAUGGCCCCGGCAAAAUCUUUUAAAUUUUUAGGGCUUCAGUUUCCCCUUUAUAGCAUGGGACUAAAAUGCUAGGUUGGGGUGACAAAUAAAUGGGAAAGUAUGCUGAACAUCUGUUCCCCUCCUUCUCCCUGUCCUGCUGGCCCUUGAUAGUCCCCAGAGCCUUAAAGGUGAGCUGUGUCAGGCAGGGCCACAUUAUGAUUCUCAUGUGUCCCUUUUGCCUUUCUCAGUUGCUUCUUCCAUAAAAAAAUAUUAAAAAAUCUAUUUUAUGACUACAUUGGUAUAAAGAGGGAUAUAAUCCAAACUGGGCUUAUUAUCAUAUAUUCAUUAUUAUUAUACUCAUUUUUCCUCUGAUUCUAACAGAAAUUAACAUUAUAAUAUUUUGGGGGGGGGGGCCUAAAAGUAUCAUGGGCCCUCAGCACUGUGCCUAAUGGGUAUGUUGGCUCUGGUGUCAGGCUAUAAGCUAUUCCUACAGGGGUGGGUCUCUUCCUUUUUCCUGAAUCUUUGAGUCCCAUUGCAAUCGAAAUGGUCAGGACAGUAAAUUCACAAUUGAAGAGACAUUUUCCCCCUGAGAUAUUCACUGGGUCAGUGAGGGUGUGUGUUGCACAUGACUAUGGGUAUUUCUGCGGUGGUCUCAGUGUAUCUGCGCCUCAGGGUGUAGCUGUUUUGGAGUGGAUGCAGGGUAGUGCGAAAGCCUAAAUUAUAAAGUGCCUGAAACUUUAUUGGUUCAUCCAACAAAUUUUUUUUUGAUAUAUUUGAUAUAAAAAAAAAUAUAUAUUUUUGCCAAGCUCUGUUAUAGGAACUGGAGAUACAGUACAAUGAACAAGAAGACCAAAUCCCUGUCCUCAUGCAGCUUACCUUCUAGUGGAGGGAAAUAGACAAGAAAUGAAAAGAUUAUGUCAGGUGAUAAGUGUUAAGCAAGGUGGGUAGAGAGAGAGGUAUAAGUGAUAAGGUGAGAGUGGAGUGUCUAUUAUAUAGAAGAUGAUCAGGAAACACGUCUUUGAUAAGGUGAUAUUGGAGCAGAGCCCCAAAGGAAGUGAGGGAUGGAGCCACGUGGCUAUCUGGGGGAAUAGCAUUCCAGGAAGAAUGAAAGGCAGGUACAGGGCACCUGGGUGUUGCAGUUGGUUAAGUGAAUGACUCUUGGUUUUGCUCAGGUUGUGGUCUCAGGGUUGUCCUGCAUCGGCUUUGCGCUUGGCGCAGAAUCUGCUUGGGAUUCUCUCUCCUCCUCCCUCUGCCCCUCCUGCUCGUGCUCACUCUCUCUCUCAAAUAAAUAAAUAAAUCUUAAAAAAAAAAAAAAAAGGCAAGUGCAGAGACCCUGUAGCAGGAGGCUUCUCAGUGAGCUUGAGGAACAGAAUGGAAGCCUGAGUCUGGAGCGGUGUGGCAGGAGAUGAAUUUAGACAGGCGGCACAGGGCCAGAUCAUGUAGAGCUUCAUAGGCUGUUGUAAAGACUCUAGCGUGUAGUCCAAGUGUGAUGAGAAGCCUCUAGAAGAAUUUGUCAGAGGAGUGUCAUGAUCUGACCUAGGUCUUAAUAGUAUCACUUUGGCUGCUUGCAUGGAAUAGAUCGGAAGAGGCAAGCACAGAGCAGGGAGGCCAGUUAGGAGACAAUUUAUACGGAUGUGGACCAGAGGGUUAGCAAUGGGUGAUGCUGAGAAGUGGUCAAAAUGGGGAUAUGAAGGUAAAGCCAACAAGAUUGGCUGAUAUAUUAAGAUGUCUGGGGAACCCGAAAAAGAGGAGUCAAGGAAAACUUCCAAACGGGAAGCAUGGAAUUGGCAUUUACUGACAUGGGGCAAGGGAACAGGUUUAGAGAGGACUCCAAGAGUUUCGUUUUGAAUGAGUUAAUUUUGAGAUGCUUUUCUUGGAUAAAGAUUAUCAAACUGAAGCAUUGGCCAGGGCUUUGUAGCCCCACAGUGACCAGUCUUUGGAUGUGGGCUGCCCCCAGCAAGGGGGUGCAGAAAUGAACCGGGGAAGCUCCCUUUAGCUGACAACAUUGUCCCGAGAGGGGCAGGGCUGUGAGUCAUCAACAGGCAACACUCAUUGAUGCUGAGGGAAUGCAUGUCUUAGUCCUAAAAAGGGGGGAUCUGGAUGCCACCUCAUAGUAUCCACUAGAAGCCACCUCUUGUGCUGUUCAAAUCCACUCCAUCUGGGAACGGUUUCUCUAGAACCAUAGUUGGUCUGUUUCCUUGGGAAACUUAUGGAAGGUUCGUGGGAUUAACCAGCCACACCUCUCCCUGUCUCCACUCCUGGCCACAACCAAUACUCAUCAUCUCCCUCCUGUACUACCCAUUCUAGAGUCCCUUCAUCCCUGGCUGGCACCUUCGCUGUUCCAAGUGGCUCACCUGGUGUUGUGACCCAGACCCUCAUCCCUAAGGGAUCUGAGCAGUGGGUCACCAUGACCUUCCCAGAUUAAGGCUGCUGCACUUUUCCAUUUACCUUUGUAAUGGGAGAGGGGGUAUCAGGAGGCACCCCAGUAGAUCAUGUGAGUGCCAAAGAUAUUCUUCAUUGCUCCCAGGGUGUAACACGGCAUCCUGAUGAUUAGGGUUGAUCACCUUGGCCAAUGUGGCGAUCCUUUUCUGUCUGCUAGUCUCUUGGCACGAGGAGACUGAGAUGACCAGGCAGCAGCCAUGGCUUGAAGCAUACUGGAACUUCUACUGUACCUCCUCCUGGUAGAAACAUUCUCCAUUCGGGAACCAGGGCCUCUAGAUCCACAAAGCCACAAGUUGUCAGGGCUGGAAGCACCAACUCCCCAAGGAGGUCACUGGAGUGAUGGUGAAUGGGUCUUCCUCUUGGUUCCUGGACCUAUGUAUUCUGCCUGUUUGAGACAUGGUACUGUAUAAUGCUUGUUGAUCAGGAUGAGAUCACAUCCUGGGGACAACAGCACAACUUUGCAGUAUAUCAAUUCCAAAUUGGUGCCUUAGCUGCAUCUUUAAGCAGCCACUUCGGCCCUCUAUCAGGCCAGCAGCGUCUGGGUAUGAGAUAGGACGAGGGGAUACCAUGGUCGUGUGCCCACUCCCACAUCUCCUUUGCUGAAAAGUGAAGCCCAUGGUCUGAGGCAAGGUCAUGCUUGAUCCCAUGGCGGUGGAUCUAGUGUUCAGUAAGCCUUUGGAUUGUGGUGUUGGCCAAGGCUCCACGGGCAAGAAAGGCAAAUCCAAAUAUGGAAUAUCAACCAGUUGUUUUUAAAUUAAAUCUUUAAAAAAAAAAAUAGGGGC